AUAUAUCCUCAUCUAUUAUAUAUAUAGAGCUAGUCUGGUAUACUAUCGGUAAUACUGAGGUCUCCGUGCUACCAAAUUGUUUUCAAUGAUGCCGCUUCCAAAACGACGAUCGGCUCCGUUAGACUUGAUCUACACUAUUGAAAGUAUUUGGAAACUAAAUUUCAUAAUGUUUCGGUAUUAUUUACUUUUCAAACGAUUAGUUUAAAAAUGAACGGCUGAAAAUAAAAAUCUCAUAAAAAAUGAUGAUAAAAGACUUGAAUUUAAGAUCAGAUGUACUGAUCUUAAUUACUCUAAAUAGUAAAAAAAAAAUUUACAAAAAUUUCAUCAGAUUUGGAUUGUUUUAUACCGAAACAUUAUGAAAUUUAGUUUUAAAUUCACAAAUGCAUUACAUCUACCAUUAAAAUUGUCAAUUUUGAGACCUUUUGAUCACUAGUCAAACGAUGUCGAAAAAUUCUGAAAUUUAGUUUCCAAAUAUUUUUAAUAUCGUAGAUCAAAUCUAAUGGAGACGAUCAUCGAUUUGAAAGUGGCAUCAUUGAAAACAACUUGGUAGCACGGAGGCCUCCGUGCCACCGAU
RNAcentral lists this long non-coding RNA (574 nucleotides) under Ananas comosus (pineapple). RNAcentral describes it as "long non-coding RNA (ACOM_LNC002719)". The record is from RNAcentral. Lineage: Eukaryota; Viridiplantae; Streptophyta; Magnoliopsida; Poales; Bromeliaceae.